UUUUCAUUUUAAAAAAAUUGAAUGAAUUUCGCUCUAAAUCAUCCAAAAAUUUAAUAUUUGGCUGGCGUACACGCACGAACGCAAAUGCACGAGGGUCAGUGUAUUGUGUUCUUCAAAUGACGUGAUUUGCAUAAAAUAAAUAAUAUUACUUUCUAUAUGCAUUGAUUAUAACAAUUAAUAAUUUGAAUGAAAUUUAUAUUUAUUUAGAAUGAAAAACCAAUCAAAUCUAAUACUAUUUUUUGAAUCAAUAGCAUAAGUAUUUGAAAAAAAGGAAACUACAUUCAGAUCUAUGACUGAUUCCAUCAGUACGGAAAACAUUAAAACGAGUCAGUCUUGAAGAAGCCGCUGAGUUGAAAAGUUGUCACACAAAUUAUUUCCAAUCUAUUUGAAAAUGAAAAAAAAACUAAAAAAUGGUUACAGUGGAUAAGUAAACUUAUAAAGUUGCAAAAAUCAUCAAGUGAUCGACAAAGAAAUUUGAUAAAGUGUUGGAAAUCGUUAGAUUGGUUCAAUCGAUCAUCCUGAUUGCAAGUCAUUGUUGAUUGGAAACGUCCGUGAGCAGAAGCUGGAAAAUUAUCACCAUAUCUGUUUUAUCGAACUACUUUUCUUCAAAAAUUCCAUCUAGGAGAGACCUAAAUAGUAUCAAGGUAAGAAAAUUGAUUUUUUUUGUAAUGCAAUAAGAAUUACAUAAUUUGUGAAAGUUAGCAUUGAUCUUUACAAAGAAAUAUUGGACCUCGCAUAAUUUUUUUAUUAUAAAAAUGUUAAUUAUAUCAACUUAUUUAUGUUGAAUAUGUAUUUUCAAUUAUCGCUUUGGAAAAUAUCAUACUGGAAAAGUUUUUAAUUUCAUUUUUAUUUUUAUUCUUUCUUUUAUCAAUCGUGGUAACCGUUGAACCGUUCACUGGGAAAAGGACAAUCAUUGUCUUUUCCAUGGAAUUGGAAAAGUGAUUCGCAGAUAGCAGCAGAACUCAGAGCAAACAGUAAAGGACGUAAAUCUGCAAAACACAACUUAGAAAAGUGAGCGCUGUAAUAAAAGUAGACGAGGAGCACUACCACUGAUCAAAUUUCAUUAUGUCAUCGUUUAUCUUUACGGGGCAAAAGACAAUCAGUCUUUUGAAGUAUCUUAUUUCUUCUGAAACUGGUAAACACUAUUGGGAGAAAGCAGAAGAGCAUACAUCCAAAAGCUGAGAAGAAGACUUCACGAAACUACUAGAAAGUCGUGCAACACCCCAUAGAAAUUAAUGUAAUACAAUUUUAUUGUGAAUACACAUUAUUUAUGUCAAAUAAAUUUAUUUUUGAAAUCAUAGCAAGAGUUUUUUAAAUAUACCCUGGUACUGUUAUAUCUACCCGAGGAUAUUAUUUGAAUUAAUGUGGACGAAUAUCAAAGCAAACAUAUUUGCCAUUGAAUCUAUGGUAAAGAACAUUUAAAUAUACCAAGGAAAUUUUUAAUUUUACCCAUUGUGUAUUUAAAUUAAUGGUAACUCGUAGUUAAAACAAAUAUUUCUACUAUUGAAACUAUGGUAGUGUUACCCAGAAAUUUUUGAUUCUACCCAUGAAAGUGUUUAAAAUCCACUUUAGAAAUAAAGUGCAAAUGUAUUUGAUUUAAAAGACAUGUUUUCUUUUCAAAUACAGUGCCAUUCAAAAUAAAUACAAAUAUAUUUGUUGUGGCUAUGAUUACUGCCUUUCAGAUCAAAUGUAAAAAUAUUUGAAGUAAAAGUCGUCUGUAUUCAAAUCAAAUAAAACAUUAGAAACAAAUGUAUUCUACCAUUGGGGCCAAAAUACCCAUAAUUUCAUUUGAUUUUACCCAGAAAAACAUUAAUACUACCCAUAAAA
Phlebotomus papatasi is the source of this 1827-nucleotide long non-coding RNA. RefSeq lists it as uncharacterized. The record is from RefSeq and is a predicted model, not a curated record. The transcript is spliced from 3 exons. Lineage: Eukaryota; Metazoa; Arthropoda; Insecta; Diptera; Psychodidae.